GCAGCAUGGUAUCUUAGUGGGCUAGCACUAUAAAAACAGCAUAAGUCAGGCUAGUACUAGCAGCCACACAUACACACGCAUGCACGUCCUCAUAUGAGCGAAAUAUUAUUAAGUACAACUUUAAACCCUAUUUCACUUCACCUGAAAUGUAUUUGACAUGUCUUU
Molecule: long non-coding RNA, 165 nt
Organism: Haliotis rubra (blacklip abalone)
Lineage: Eukaryota; Metazoa; Mollusca; Gastropoda; Lepetellida; Haliotidae
Exons: 3
Source: RefSeq, a predicted model, not a curated record